AUCCCUGUAGUGCAAUGAAUAGCGCGUUGGACUUCUAAUCCAAAGGUCGUGGGUCCAUAUCCCACCUGGAAUA
Trichonephila clavata is the source of this 73-nucleotide non-coding RNA. NCBI's taxonomy places the organism in Eukaryota, Metazoa, Arthropoda, Arachnida, Araneae, Nephilidae. The record is from the annotation of a GenBank genome assembly.